UUCACGGAGAGUUUGAUCCUGGCUCAGGACGAACGCUGGCGGCGUGCUUAACACAUGCAAGUCGAACGAUGAAGCCCUUCGGGGUGGAU
Molecule: non-coding RNA, 89 nt
Filed under: Streptomyces sp. NRRL S-1521
Lineage: Bacteria; Bacillati; Actinomycetota; Actinomycetes; Kitasatosporales; Streptomycetaceae
Description: Bacterial small subunit ribosomal RNA
Rfam family: Bacterial small subunit ribosomal RNA
Source: Rfam by way of RNAcentral